RNAcentral lists this transfer RNA (72 nucleotides) under Fidelibacterota bacterium. Its description in RNAcentral is "Candidatus Marinimicrobia bacterium tRNA-Gln". It matches the Rfam family "tRNA". Rfam says of the family: Transfer RNA (tRNA) molecules are approximately 80 nucleotides in length. Their secondary structure includes four short double-helical elements and three loops (D, anti-codon, and T loops). Lineage: Bacteria; Pseudomonadati; Fidelibacterota. The record is from RNAcentral.
UGGGGUGUCGUCUAAUGGUAGGACACCGGGUUUUGGUCCCGGCAGUCGGGGUUCGACUCCCUGCGCCCCAGC